GCAGCAGGCGCGCAAAUUACCCACUCCCGGCACGGGGAGGUAGUGACGAAAAAUAACGAUACGGGACUCAUCCGAGGCCCCGUAAUCGGAAUGAGUAUACUCUAAAUCCUUAUACGAGUAUCAAUUGGAGGGCAAGUCUGGUGCCAGCAGCCGCGGUAAUUCCAGCUCCAAUAGCGUAUAUUAAAGUUGUUGCGGUUAAAAAGCUCGUAGUUGGAUCUGUGUCCCGCACCGUCGGUUCACCGCCUGUCGGUGUUCAACUGGCGUGUAUGCGGGACGUCCUGCCGGUGGCGGUCCGGUUCCCCGUCGGUUCGUAGGGGUCGUCCUUGCCUUGCUUGCGUCGUCCCCGAAGGCCGGCGCGGUGUUUCCGGCCGCCUUUUCGAUCCCGUCGCGGUGCUCUUCACCGAGUGUCGAGGCGGGCCGGCACGUUUACUUUGAACAAAUUAGAGUGCUUUAAGCAGGCCCUGUCCCGCCUGUAUGUUGUGUGCAUGGAAUAAUGGAAUAGGACCUCGGUUCUAUUUUGUUGGUUUUCGGAAUCUGAGGUAAUGAUCAAUGGGGACAGGCGGGGGCAUUCGUAUUGCGACGUUAGAGGUGAAAUUCUUGGAUCGUCGCAAGACGGACCGAAGCGAAAGCAUUUGCCAAGUAUGUUCUCGUCGAUCAAGAACGAAAGUUAGAGGUUCGAAGGCGAUCAGAUACCGCCCUAGUUCUAACCAUAAACUAUGCCUGCCAGCGAUCCGCCGAAGUUCCUCCGAUGACUCGGCGGGCAGCUUCCGGGAAACCAGAGCUUUUGGGUUCCGGGGGAAGUAUGGUUGCAAAGCUGAAACUUAAAGGAAUUGACGGAAGGGCACCACCAGGAGUGGAGCCUGCGGCUUAAUUUGACUCAACACGGGAAAACUCACCAGGCCCGGACACCGGAAGGAUUGACAGAUUGAGAGCUCUUUCUUGAUUCGGUGGGUGGUGGUGCAUGGCCGUUCUUAGUKGGUGGAGCGAUUUGUCUGGUUAAUUCCGAUAACGAACGAGACUCUAGCCUACUAACUAGGCGUACCCGGUAUCCACAAUCGUGCUACCGGCGAUCAAAUUUCUUCUUAGAGGGACAGGCGGCUUCUAGCCGCACGAGACUGAGCAAUAACAGGUCUGUGAUGCCCUUAGAUGUCCUGGGCCGCACGCGCGCUACACUGAAGGAAUCAGCGUGUCUUCCCUGUCCGAAAGGACCGGGUAACCCGCUGAACCUCCUUUGUGCUAGGGAUUGGGGCUUGCAAUUGUUCCCCAUGAACGAGGAAUUCCCAGUAAGCGCGAGUCAUAAGCUCGCGUUGAUUACGUCCCUGCCCUUUGUACACACCGCCCGUCGCUACUACCGAUUGAAUGAUUUAGUGAGGUCUUCGGACCGGUGCGCGGAGGCCGCUUCGCGGUCUCCGAUGUUGCUGGAAAGAUGACCAAACUUGAUCAUUUAGAGGAAGUAAAAGUCGUAACAAGGUUUCCGUAGGUGAA
Molecule: ribosomal RNA, 1485 nt
Filed under: Traxus fulvus
Lineage: Eukaryota; Metazoa; Arthropoda; Insecta; Hemiptera; Issidae
Description: SSU rRNA
Source: RNAcentral